GGGGGAUUCGUAAGAACCUCGCGUUAAUGGAGCGGCCGAUGUCGGAUUAGCUAGUUGGUGAGGUAAAGGCUCACCAAGGCGACGAUCCGUAGCUGGUCUGAGAGGACGACCAGCCACACUGGAACUGAGACACGGUCCAGACUCCUACGGGAGGCAGCAGUGGGGAAUUUUGGACAAUGGGCGAAAGCCUGAUCCAGCCAUGCCGCGUGAGUGAAGAAGGCCUUCGGGUUGUAAAGCUCUUUCGCAAGGAAAGAAAACUUAGUUACUAAUACUAGCUGAGGAUGACGGUACCUUGAUAAGAAGCACCGGCUAACUACGUGCCAGCAGCCGCGGUAAUACGUAGGGUGCGAGCGUUAAUCGGAAUUACUGGGCGUAAAGCGUGCGCAGGCGGUUUUGUAAGUCAGAUGUGAAAUCCCCGGGCUCAACCUGGGAACUGCGUUUGAAACUACAAGGCUAGAGUGUAGAAGAGGGGGGUAGAAUUCCACGUGUAGCAGUGAAAUGCGUAGAGAUGUGGAGGAAUACCGAUGGCGAAGGCAGCCCCCUGGGCUAACACUGACGCUCAUGCACGAAAGCGUGGGGAGCAAACAGGAUUAGAUACCCUGGUAGUCCACGCCCUAAACGAUGUCUACUAGUUGUUGGAGGAGUAGAAUCCUUUAGUAACGCAGCUAACGCGUGAAGUAGACCGC
RNAcentral lists this ribosomal RNA (686 nucleotides) under uncultured beta proteobacterium. Its description in RNAcentral is "bacterial SSU rRNA". It matches the Rfam family "Bacterial small subunit ribosomal RNA", at positions 193 to 872 of the family's 1533-position model. The record is from RNAcentral. Lineage: Bacteria; Pseudomonadati; Pseudomonadota; Betaproteobacteria.